UUGGAGGGGCAAGUCUGGUGCCAGCAGCCGCGGUAAUUCCAGCUCCAAUAGCGUAUAUUAAAGUUGUUGCAGUUAAAAAGCUCGUAGUUGAAUUUCGGGGUUAGUAGGUUGGUCAUGCCUCCGGUAUGUACUGGUCUCACUGAUUCCUCCUUCCUGAUGAACCGUAAUGCCAUUAAUUUGGUGUUGCGGGAAUUUGGACUGUUACUUUGAAAAAAUUAGAGUGUUUAAAGCAAGCUAACGCUUGAAUACAUUAGCAUGGAAUAAUGAAAUAGGACG
RNAcentral lists this ribosomal RNA (276 nucleotides) under uncultured Glomus. Its description in RNAcentral is "partial 18S ribosomal RNA". It matches the Rfam family "Eukaryotic small subunit ribosomal RNA", at positions 548 to 829 of the family's 1831-position model. The record is from RNAcentral. Lineage: Eukaryota; Fungi; Glomeromycota; Glomeromycetes; Glomerales; Glomeraceae.